This 253-nucleotide ribosomal RNA is filed under the name uncultured bacterium. Its description in RNAcentral is "partial 16S ribosomal RNA". It matches the Rfam family "Bacterial small subunit ribosomal RNA", at positions 524 to 776 of the family's 1533-position model. The record is from RNAcentral.
UACGUAGGGGGCAAGCGUUGUCCGGAAUCAUUGGGCGUAAAGCGCGUGUAGGCGGCCAGGUAGGUCUGCUGUGAAAACUCGAGGCUCAACCUCGAGACGUCGGCGGAAACCAUCUGGCUAGAGUCCGGAAGAGGAGAGUGGAAUUCCUGGUGUAGCGGUGAAAUGCGCAGAUAUCAGGAAGAACACCCGUGGCGAAGGCGGCUCUCUGGGACGGUACUGACGCUGAGACGCGAAAGCGUGGGGAGCGAACAGG